CCUACGGGUGGCAGCAGUGGGGGAUAUUGGACAAUGGGGGGAACCCUGAUCCAGCGACGCCGCGUGAGUGAUGAAGUAUUUCGGUAUGUAAAGCUCUAUCAGCAGGGAAGAAAAGAAUGACGGUACCUGAAUAAGAAGCCCCGGCUAACCACGUGCCAGCAGCCGCGGUAAUACGUAGGGGGCAAGCGUUAUCCGGAUUUACUGGGUGUAAAGGGAGCGCAGACGGCAAUGCAAGCCUGGAGUGAAAGGCGGGGGCUCAACCCCCGGACUGCUCUGGGAACUGUAUAGCUAGAGUGCAGGAGAGGCAAGUGGAAUUCCUAGUGUAGCGGUGAAAUGCGUAGAUAUUAGGAGGAACACCAGUGGCGAAGGCGGCUUGCUGGACUGUAACUGACGUUGAGGCUCGAAAGCGUGGGGAGCAAACAGGAUUAGAUACCCUAGUAGUC
This 443-nucleotide ribosomal RNA is filed under the name uncultured bacterium. RNAcentral describes it as "partial 16S ribosomal RNA". It matches the Rfam family "Bacterial small subunit ribosomal RNA", at positions 338 to 795 of the family's 1533-position model. The record is from RNAcentral.